CCAGACUCCUACGGGAGGCAGCAGUGGGGAAUAUUGCGCAAUGGGCGAAAGCCUGACGCAGCGACGCCGCGUGAGGGAUGAAGGUCUUCGGAUCGUAAACCUCUGUCAGCAGGGAAGAACGGUCACUGUGCUAAUCAGCAGUGAAUUGACGGUACCUGCAAAGGAAGCCCCGGCUAACUUCGUGCCAGCAGCCGCGGUAAUACGAAGGGGGCAAGCGUUGUUCGGAAUUACUGGGCGUAAAGGGAGUGUAGGCGGUUUAGUAAGAUAGUGGUGAAAUCCCAGAGCUUAACUUUGGAAUUGCCAUUAUAACUAUUAGACUAGAAUUACAGAGAGGAUAGUGGAAUACCCAGUGUAGAGGUGAAAUUCGUAGAUAUUGGGUAGAACACCAGUGGCGAAGGCGACUAUCUGGCUGUACAUUGACGCUGAGGCUCGAAAGCAUGGGGAUCAAACAGGAUUAGAUACCCUGGUAGU
Molecule: ribosomal RNA, 471 nt
Filed under: uncultured bacterium
Lineage: Bacteria
Description: partial 16S ribosomal RNA
Rfam family: Bacterial small subunit ribosomal RNA
Source: RNAcentral